GAUGAACGCUGGCGGCGUGCCUAAUACAUGCAAGUCGAGCGAACGGACGAGAAGCUUGCUUCUCUGAUGUUAGCGGCGGACGGGUGAGUAACACGUGGAUAACCUACCUAUAAGACUGGGAUAACUUCGGGAAACCGGAGCUAAUACCGGAUAAUAUUUUGAACCGCAUGGUUCAAAAGUGAAAGACGGUCUUGCUGUCACUUAUAGAUGGAUCCGCGCUGCAUUAGCUAGUUGGUAAGGUAACGGCUUACCAAGGCAACGAUGCAUAGCCGACCUGAGAGGGUGUUCGGCCACACUGGAACUGAGACACGGUCCAGACUCCUACGGGAGGCAGCAGUAGGGAAUCUUCCGCAAUGGGCGAAAGCCUGACGGAGCAACGCCGCGUGAGUGAUGAAGGUCUUCGGAUCGUAAAACUCUGUUAUUAGGGAAGAACAUAUGUGUAAGUAACUGUGCACAUCUGGACGGUACCUAAUCAGAAAGCCACGGCUAACUACGU
This 496-nucleotide ribosomal RNA is filed under the name uncultured bacterium. RNAcentral describes it as "partial 16S ribosomal RNA". It matches the Rfam family "Bacterial small subunit ribosomal RNA", at positions 28 to 506 of the family's 1533-position model. The record is from RNAcentral.